Molecule: transfer RNA, 73 nt
Filed under: Rubrobacter xylanophilus DSM 9941
Lineage: Bacteria; Bacillati; Actinomycetota; Rubrobacteria; Rubrobacterales; Rubrobacteraceae
Also listed under: 2 other names
Description: tRNA-Glu (TTC) (tRNA-Glu-TTC-1-1)
Rfam family: tRNA
About the family: Transfer RNA (tRNA) molecules are approximately 80 nucleotides in length.
Source: Rfam by way of RNAcentral
GCCCCCAUCGUCUAGCGGCCUAGGAUUCCGCCCUUUCAAGGCGGCGGCACGGGUUCGAAUCCCGUUGGGGGCA